Molecule: long non-coding RNA, 7589 nt
Organism: Alexandromys fortis (reed vole)
Lineage: Eukaryota; Metazoa; Chordata; Mammalia; Rodentia; Cricetidae
Exons: 3
Source: RefSeq, a predicted model, not a curated record
CAGCUCAGCUCACUGGAGUCCUAAUCAAGAAUAUAAAGAACAUGCAUCCUUCACGGCAUCCUGAAGUGAUGUUAGGAAUCAAGACUAAGACCUCUUAAGCCUCACAGCAGAGCCUUAAUUCAGUAUUGAACUUUGAGGGGCAAGAGAAGAAGAAACUGUGAGGAUGUGUGAUGGAGAACUAAACUCGCUGUGAAAUAAAAUGGGGAUUGUUAGCAUAGAACCACAGGCUUAUCCUUCUAAGACCAGGAAGACAUAGUGGCCGCUUGUGAUGGACUCCUGCUUCCCAGCUACUGUGCAAAUCCAUAUGGAGAGCAUUAUUCUAGUUUUCUAAAUCCAGGGAUUUCUAUGAAAACCCCAGAAAUGUAAAAGGAGCGCGUCUUCUGAAGUACCUCCGUGGCAAUGCUCUGUUACCAAGUUCUGACUGUAAAAGAACCCCGUGGAUUGCUAAUUGACUGUUAAAGCCACAGUCACGAGUUUCCUCUGAUUUAACGCACCUGUUUGCUGAACACCUGUGAAAACAUUUGUACAACUUGGCAAUGACAAGGCUUAUUGUCCAGUUCUGGUGUUAUUAUAAAUAUGUCUCGGAGACGCUGUGGCGAAACUUCGUCUGUUACCCGGAAUUUGAAUUUUGACAAAGGGAUAGUACAAAAUUAACCUGGUAGAUUAGUCUUCAUGGUUCAAGGGUGUAUUUCUUACUAAGUUUAUCUAGAAUGAAAUGAUAGUCUCGUUGUGUACAUUUUACAUUUGGUAAAUUGGCUCAUUGUCGAAAAACUAAGGGGGGAAACAAUGGAUCAAGAGCCGAGGGGGAAAAUGUGUGAAGAUAUAUGAAAUUUAUUAAAAUAUAUUUCUGAUGUUUUGUUUGAGUGUUUAGUAAUAGUGUCCUUCUGGCUCUAUGACAAUGUGCAAUAAAGACAGAUGUCUUGCAUAUUUCACUGUCACAGUGACUUAUCUCUGACAUCAGAAAUGCGGUACUAUUAUCACAAUGCGACACUACCCUUUAGAGCGCAAGGGUGAUUCUCUAGAACCAAGAUUCUGGAAGGACAUCCCUGUGGGCCAAGUGUUCAGAAGGAGUAAUAGGGGAAGAAGUGUGCAUUUGAAGGAGUUCCUUUUUUCUGACUGAUUUUCAGCAUCCGUACUUUGAAGAGAGAGAAAAGGGCCAUCCUUGUUAGUUCUGCAGAGGGCAUACACACGAGAGAAGACAAAUAAUUCUGAGAACAUUGAUGUUUAGUCAAAGCAAAGGCAGAAUCCUUCAAGGUGGCUGAAGCAACCAUGAUUUGACAGAAAGGACCGCCUUCUCGGGACCGAUAUGAGGUAAGUCUAGAGGAUUUGAUAAGACUGUGGGCUUAGUGUAACACGAUUGUUUUAAAAUGUAAUUAAAUCAAUGUAUAAAUCAACUGUGGAUUUUUUUAUGUAAAUAAAGAUCGCGGUCCUAUUGUACUGGAAAGUUGGGCUCACUCGAGUCAUGUUGGAAAGCAUCUUCUUUAUUUGUGCACUUGACAUCCUGGGAGGAAGGCAAGUCUGAGCAGGCUGUGAAGGUCUUUAGAGAAUGCUGGCAGGGAGAUGGCGAGGCCACUGGCGACAGGGUGGAAACACUGUGGUGAGCUGCCAGUCAAGGGUCAGCAGCUAUGAGGAAUACUAUUGACAGACGCUCAGAUUGCCUUUUAACGUCAGACAUUUUCAGGCGGGUGGACCUUUGGGCUCACGAUCUCAAAUGACCCAAGUUGGUGGUGUGUACUGACAAGGAGUUCUACAGAUAACAAUCACAACUAGAAACUUCAGGGUUUCCUUAGGGGUGUCACCAAGCUUAAGAAAUAUGACAUCCAAUUGUGACUGUCCCCUAACGCUGGGUUCUUAGAAGUCUAGCUGCCAAUCCUCACUUGAAAGAAUGCAAAUAGGUCCACGCUAGAACCAAGUGCUUUUGGAUUUCUGUAUACUGGAGCAAAAUGGGAUUUUGCUCUUAUUGCUCUUUUGUACAGAAAAAUGUCAACCCAAACAAUCCAACUUCCAAUCCUUAGCCAGUUCAUGAAGUUCCCAGCAUGCUUCACUGUUUAUACCUAAUAUAGUCUUUCAUACCUUGCCGCUAUUUAAAGCUAAGCUGUCUGUCACUCAGUCCACCAAAAAUAGGCAAGAAAAACAUAAAUUUUUUCCUUAAGUUGUACCCUGGAGAACAGAGAGGCUCAUUUGAACAAUGACUCACAAAAUUCCAUACUUACUUGACAUUGUUGUUAAAUAGUAAUGGUUAGAAAGUUCUAGUAAGACGCCUGGCAUAUUUUAAUUUGUUCAACUAGAUCUUAUUUGCUCUCAUCUUGGUUAGUCAUUUAUCCCUGCCCCCUCUGUUUACAAAAACUCAACUAUUUCUUUAAACCCUUGAUGUUCAUAACUCUUGGAAAUGCUUGAAGGCUCCCUUCUGAGAUUCCAAAAUGCACAAGGCCAUGAGCUCGUCCCAUCUGGAAUGAGGUGGCUGCAUCUUCAGGGGAGAGCCACUGAGGUGUGGACUUCUCUACCACAGCAUCCAGAGACUAUUGUAUAUUGUACUGCUGUAUUCCAGGCUCAUUGAGAGAAAGGGUGUCUGUCUGGAAAUUUGCGGUAACUUGCUAAUCACCAAUCUCAUCAUUUCCUUUCCUACUGAAAAUACAAGUGUUUCCUCAAAGCCAUGAGUAAUGGAAACCCAGAAUCCACCAGGAUCAUGCAUGCUUGUAUUAAAUCUAUCCCAGUAUGUCUGAGGAAAGCAGUCGCUUUUCAGUAAUAACUAAAUAAUUUCUAGUUUAUUCUUUUAUCAUUAACAUGUGGGCUGUCUGUACUUCUUGAUUAUGGCAAAAGUCAGUAAUGUCACUUAUUGGGGAGGAAGUAAAAAAUACAAAAACCCAAAACGUUAAUUCUUAUUUACAGAAGCACAACUUCACAAAUAUACAUGCAAUCACACACACAUGUGCACAUACAUGCACACACAAACUCAUGCACACAGUGCACACACAUACACACAUGUCCAUACAUGCACAAACAUGUGCGCGCACACACGCAAUCAGGGGCAGAAUCAAACAACUCAAAUUUUAGGUAGCUUUCAGUCACAUGUUCUUAAUCUAACUUCUUUUUAUCUUAUUACUAAAGUGGGUGUCCUGUUAAUGUGGACCAAAGGGGGGAAAAAACCAAACCAAAACAAAACAACCACAUGUAUGUGUCUGACUUUUUAAAUUAAUUCCUUGAUUAGAACACAAAUGAGUUUCACUGUGACAUUUUCAGACAUAUCUCUUAUUUUUGUUCUUAUUCAUGUCCCCUACCACCCUUUCCAGUCUCUCUUGUCUACUCUGGGUCCCUUUUCAGUUCCUCGACAGCCCUGAUUCUUCUCUCUUGACACAUGCCUUCCUUUAUCUUCUGCUGUCUCCUGCUUUCGAGCUCUCUCUCUGUUUGCAUCCCCCUCACACACAUCCACAUUCUAAUAAAAUCUAGAAAUCCAAGCAAAUAUAAUUUAACUUAGGCAAUGGGAGACUUCUUUUAAAACACAAAAUCGCAGGACUUUUAUCAUAUGAAAUACACUAACUCUAGUAAGGUAAGCUGUCAACAGACAUCCCCUGAAGGUUUGCAUGCUGACCACUAAGCUGACUGCUCUGGUUGCAAAUUCCAAACAGAAUCUAACUGGAAGCCAACGAUUCGUUCACAUAUUAAAAUUCACAAGAAGAAGAUCAUUAAAAGAUUCAUAGUUCUGAUAGGACCAGGGUUAGAGGGGAUAUACAUUAAUGGAAGCCUACAACAGUUAGGCUAUCUUUAGCUGCCAACUCAGCUCCAGAAAUAGGGUCUGCCAUAUGUCUUUCCAUAUUAUCUCAAGUGUCUGUCUGUCCCCUGGGGUUCUCAACUUGAGAACUGAUAUCUAAGAAAAUAUCCAUUUCACAAAUCUACACUUAAAAAAAGCAACAAACGUCAGCCCAUAAAUUAUCAUAACCAUGUAAAAGCAGGAGGGAUGUUGGGAGUGACAGGAAUUAUUCAUUCACUUGGGCUUCUGUUAGAGUUGACAGCAGAGAAGUCCCCAGAAACUAAUAAAUCACAACACAGUUUACCAUUCCAAAUGUCACAGUCUUUGUACAGCUCCCAUUUAAAGCUCAAAGACUGCUGAUUUUGAGGAAACAGGGCCAGAACCUCGAAGCCCGUUGCAUUUUUUGACAAUAUUUUCAUCGCAUUUUCUAACUGGCAGAGUCAUCCACGCCAACACGUUCUAAAUCACAGCGGCACGCGGAGCCCAGUGGUGUUGGAAGCUAUUUUACGUGUGUGUGUGGGGGGGGUGGGGGGGUGACUGCUUUGCUAGGUUUUGGAAACAAUUACCAGAGUCUGUGACACAAAAAUGUCAGCUUGUUCCCCUUCUUUAGGAAAAAAAUACUGCAAUCAGACUGGUUACUUAGCACAAAUUAUGUUUUCAUACGCUUGGCUAUAUUUUAAUGCUGCCCUGUGACACACGUAUCAUCAAGAAAAUACUGAUUGGAGAUCUUCUGAAUUGAGAACACGAGGAAUAUGUAGUAUGGAAUGUUUAUAAAGAAAAUUUGGUUUCCUUCAAACGUAUGGAUGAGCGCUAAGCCCAGGAAAUAAUGCUCGAAUGAGUCCCCCAGGUCUUAUUUUAAUGACUGCAUAAAAUGGGCUGCGCAUCAAGUAUUAAUUUAUAGGCAGCAAAUGGUUUUCAAGGUUUCUGUGUAGUUUAUAUGUGUAAGCACAUAUAGUAGCACUUCGUCCAAGAAGCUAGCUCUCGGUAUCCUCCAAUGCAACGCCAGAUCCGGCUCUCACUGGGUUAGGCCAGUUUCUAUAUUGCUCUGUGUAAGCUCCAAUUCAUAGGCGACUCACAUGCAUUCCUCGCUCUGCUCUGGGUUUGAGAAAUCCCCUCCUCAAAUAUGACUCCAUUUCCCCUACAUCUCCCAUCUGGUGUCUGGCCUCAUUCGUUCUUCAUUUAAUUAAUAGCCAGGCAUUGCAAAAGCUCAUUUUAUUUCAGACCCCAUGUAAACCAAGACGUGGGGUCUCCCCUUGAGGUGGCACUACCUCUCUGCUAUGUGUGUCCUCAGAAGUAAAAAUAAAAGCCAUCUUACUCUGGAAAGAUCACAUCUGUUUGCUGAAGUCCUCCAUUUAAUUUUGUUCUAGACUGUAGAGAUUGGGUAGGGGUUUAGGCAUGUUUAGUCCUUUCUAUUUUACAUAAGAGAAGCACAGAUUAAGCAUAGCAUAGCACUUGGUCUGGAGAAGAUAAUAAUUAAUAACAACAACAAUAAUAAACAAUAAUCAAUGAACAGUGACUUGGAGGCCAAUACUAUUGGUGGCUACCCCUUGAGAAUAAAGAACACCUAAUAGAUGAUCUUCUGUGCACGGUAGGAGGUGCCAUGGUGCAUAACAGUGGAAGUGGAUGUUCUUCAUCACUUGUCUUAAGGUGUUCUAGGUCUCUCUUCAUUGCACUUUAAGUGGCUUAGGCUCCUUCUGUGGUCCAUUGCUAAGAGCACAAAGUGGACCCUUGAGGAGCACUCAGACUCCUCCCCUGUCUGUCCCACAGCAUCCUCAUGAAUGCAUGGAACUGAAGUAGACAAAUGAGCAUGACUUUCCAUAAGUUUGCAUAUAUUACACGGUGUCCCAUAAUAAAAUUUCAUCUUGGAUACGUACAAACACAAAAUCAGGAAGCACAUAGCCUGACCCUUGCAACGUGAAGGCGCGCCCUGUCAAUGGAGGAACCCAUUGCGGCUGUUAGUAUUUUUAUUUAUCUUGAUUCUGACCACUUUGUCCAGAGAGGAGGGAGAGGAGCCCUCAUGGAAGUGAGUCACAUUUUGGUUAUAAUCACCGGAACACUCGAAGAUGAAAUCAUUUUAUUCAGCUGAACCAACAUUAUAAAAAGUAAAUUACUUCAUAUAUCUUUGGCAUGCGGCUAAUUUAGCUAUUUUGAGCAUUUCCUGGAAUUAUCUAUCUCACCCAUUCUUUCUUUGCUGGAUUAUGCCCAUAUCAGUCUUUCUUCCUUUCCAGCACUUUCCUGGUCAUGUUAAUGAAAAGGAGGAGGAAGAAACUUGUGGCUUUGGUGACCUUCAAGUCUUUAAGGCGAAGAGAAAAGAUGCCACAAAGAAUCACACUUUAACAGCUCAAGGAGCAGCGCUGGAGACAUACUGUAAGAACCCGAGAGCAGGAAGGAGUUCUGUGAUAUGCUGUCUUCUGGCUAUUCCGCUAAGAACUCACAGCAGCUAUGGUUGUUUUUACAAGAACUGCACAGGACCAAACCAGCCAGGCCCUGCCCUAUACUGAAGAGCUUCUGACAAUAACUGCAGGGAGGGAUCAUUCAUUUAUUCUUAUAUGGCUGAAUAGAAUCUGUGUUGAUUGCACCUUCCUUUGGCUCAUUAAGGAUCUGAGAGCGGCAGCUUCCUGGGAGUGAGUAGGAGCUGGUUUGAUUGACGGAUCUCCUCAGUGCACCAGACUUCACAGGCGGAGAAGAUGCCCACUGGGAGAACACGUCAGCCAAGGCCAGGUUGCUAUGACGCAGCCCGCCCCUGGGGGACAGAUGUCCCCCUUACUUGAAAGAGGUAGAAGAGACUUCAGCAGAGGCAGUAGAAGAAUGGCAAAAUGAUUACUAGUGACUUCAAACUGUAAUUAGAUUUUAAACAGCAGGAAAAAAAAAAAGGUCCAAUCCUUGACUUUCUUUCACACAGCGUUGCCCAUUUGGGACAUUUUGUGCUCGUUGGCUCAACCAUCUCAUUCAAAAGAGGCUCAUGUGUUUGUAGGAUACUGAAAGCUGUUAAUGAGUGAGUGUGGGAUCUGUUGGCUUUGAACUUGCCCAUUACAUGCACGAACACUCGGACCCAUAAAUUACUCCCUGGGAGUAAUCUUUAGUCAGUUGCUAAGAGAUGGCCAGUUCAUGGUUUCCUUUGAUUACAGGGCAUAACCGCUCACUGUCAAAAUGCCAAAAUAAAACUUAAAAACCCCAACAGUGUUCACGUAACCUACUGCUUUCCUGUUACUUCCAGUAAGAUAUUAAAACUCAGAGGGUUUUGAACAAAGGGAGGUGACAAAGAGAGCCAAGAAUGUCUCUGGUAGCGGAGCAAGGCUUUUGUUCUCCAACAGCAGCCCAGCAUUCAACAGAUAGUGUUUGCUUUAUGAAAUUAUUCAUUUAUUUGCUCAUUUCUUAAAACAAUAGCAUUACUCAUGGUUAGGAGGUGAUAUGAGGUAAGGGUCCCUUACCACAUAAAGUAAGUGUUUACAUACAUGUGUGUGUGCAGUUUUAGGUCAAAAAAGGCAGUGUGCCACAAACUGAGAAAAACAACCAUGUCAAGGGAGCUAAACUAGGAAAAAGAGAGGAAACAGGAAGGGGAAAGACCAGAGCUCAAUUCACUGCUUCCUCUAUGAACACUUUUGAGUGACGUCAUCUAUUCUGCUGGUGGCCAGCACAGUGCAUACGGUGACAAUUACUUGGGAGCUGGAGGACAUAGAGUGACUUACUUCUAUGAUCUACUGGCAGUUUCUACAACCAUAAAUAGGGUAGGACCAAGGGGCAGACGGGAUGAACUGAUGUAGGCAACAGAAAGGCACCUGGCAUAAAACACAAUGAAAAAAAAAAAGAUACAAGCUGUUGUUUCUCCCAGAGACUAUCA